RNA transcript from Elaeis guineensis (African oil palm), 3714 nucleotides. RefSeq lists it as uncharacterized. Lineage: Eukaryota; Viridiplantae; Streptophyta; Magnoliopsida; Arecales; Arecaceae. The record is from RefSeq and is a predicted model, not a curated record.
UAAAUCAGAGUUUUCUUCUUUUCCUUGUGCAAGGAGGGAGCUCCAGGCUAGAAUGGACAGUCUAAUUUUUAUUUUUUUUUCUGAAUUUUGGGAUAUCUUACGGCCGGGCUCCAUUGAAUCUUCAAUCAAAUCUUUGAAGGGACUCUUGACCUCGAUAGAUUUAACUACAACCACAAAAGCAUGGCCACUCCAACGAAGGAACCCACGGUAGCAGCCCUGAGAGGAUGGAGAUUUGCCAUUGGCCGUUAUGACUUCGCUGCUGCGCAUUCCUAUUGGGGGCAUGAUUGCUUUCUUUAUGUGAGCUAUGAAUGAUGUUCUUUGUCCGAUAAGGGGGGAAUCGGUGCCCUUGAUUGCGGAAGAAACCAUGUCCUACACCACGUGCACCACAUCUCUCCCUGCGACGGCGGGAGAGAUGUGUAAGUGGGCCCUCGGCAUCGUGCUGGUAGUUCCGUAACCCCCUCGACAAUCGAAGAAAGGCGUCGACCUGGGUUGGGUUUCGGCGGAGAAAGCCUUCGAUUCUUGUCUUCUCCCCUUCCUUCCUUGGAAAAGGUCCGGUUUCGAUGCAGCGGCUUCCCUCCUUCUUCAUCCUUGUUUGGGUUGGGUAUGAAAGGGCAAUCCAAGAUUGACGAAUUUUGCCUAAAUUCAUGAACGAGGGAUUUCGAGGAUCUGACAACCUUCAAUUAGGACUUCUUUCUUUCCAAAGGACUGAAUGUGUGGUUUGGGUUUGCCAAGAGCGAGAAGCCCUUGAUUCAGGGGGCACACCGGUGGGUGGUGGCUGCGUGAGGCAGAGACGCAACCAAGGGUACUUCUCCAGCGGUGACGACCUCGAGAGGCAGCAGAACAGUGGGGGAUACUCCUCGACUGGCGAUGAUGACCUUGAGGACGACGCAUGUUCGAGGCCGCCAGUCCAUUCAAUACCAACUCUUCAGAGGGCUCGGACAUGGAAAGAAGUCGUUGAGGCGAUGAUUUGGCUUGUCUUUGCUGCGUUCAUCAUCUACUAUGGCGACCGGCACUCGAAUCUGAUCUCUAUCUUGUGUUGGGAUGGGAGGAUCAAGAGGACAGCUCUGUACCUUGGCCUAGUAGGUGUUGCCUUGGAUUUAGGCCUUGUUUUAUAUUCUACAUUUUUCUUGUGGGGUCCACAGAAGAUUUAUGAAAAAAAUGAAGCCUUGCUCUCUAUAGCACCAUGUAUCAUCCUGUUUGGAUUCCUCUCCUUCUGCUUGUUCUCAUUUGCUUUGUGGCCUAUUUGGAGUUUUUUGUCCAUUCCUCUCUUGUUUACACUGUUCAUGGCUUUCAUGGUUGUAUCUCCAUAUUUGCUGAUUGGACCACUCAGGCUACCAGAAUUUACAGUUCGUGCCGACUGAUCUUUCCAAAUAAAUAAGCUGAGAACUGAAGAAAAACUGAUUCUAGAAAGGGGUACCUGCAAAGACAUUGUAACAUGUGUGGUGGUUGCACUAGUAGUGGCUGUACCAUUUUGAAGUAGCAGUUGCAUAAGUGGAGGAUCACAGAAAGCAGACAUGCAAGAAGGGUUGUUUUGACUCUCAUAUCAUGCCACAUGGGUAAUUGAGAUCUUGCCUAGAUGUUUAUUCUUAUUAACUUUUAAAUGAGCCCUUUCUGCACUUGAAAUGGAUAAGGGAUGUCUAUCUUUCAUUUCACAUCAACAUAGUUCACAUUAGUUUUUUUUUUUUCCCCUUGAAUAUUGAAAGUUCUUUUUUUGUGCCUCAAAUGUCUUUUCAGCCUUGUCAUAGUUUUGAUGAUCUCGAAACGUCAAAUAUAUUGGUAGUUUUUCCCCUUGAACACGAAGGUUUUUCUUCUUAUAUUAAAUAUCUGCCAUUGUAUAUUUGACUUAGGAAAAAGUAUAUGAUAUUGUGGACAUUAUUUGGUUAGCUGUACUGUCUUCUAUGUAAUAAAAGUUAUGAUAGGGCAUCGAUGCAACCCAUUCUUGCGGUAUAGCAGAUUGAUUUUUCGUGUUUUGUAUCUAUCAUCUCCCAAUAUUUGGUAUUAAUCUUAAAGAUUGGUGUGUACUAUAAGAUGAGUUUGAUGUACAACUUGUCAAGAUGUUUCAUUAUCAUGGGUUUCUUGUGUUGUCAGUUAGUAGCUAUUGGUCUUUUGAUUAUUUUUAUAUGGUCCCUGAAAGGGAAAAUCAGCCUGGUGUGCAACAGGAGUUUAUAUAUAUUUAUAUCUUGAACUAGUCAUUUGUUAUGGAUCAUCCUGACCAGGGUAAGAAUUGAUCAUUUUCCAUGAUUUCUUAAAUAAUUUAUUUGAUUUUUUUAUAUUGGCGCUGAAGGGAAAAAUCAGUCUUGUGUGCAACAGAAGUUUAUACAUAUUUAUAUCUUGAACUAGUCAUUUAUUUUAUUGAUCAUCAUAAUUGGGAUAAGAAUGGAUCAUUUUCCAUGAUUUCUUAAAUAAUUUAUUUGGUUAUUUUUAUAUGGGUGGCGAAAGUAAAAAUCAGACCUGUGCGCAACAGGAGUUUAUGUAUAUUUUUAUAUCUUGAACUAGUCAUUCAUUUUAUUGAUCAUCCUAACCAGGGUAAAAUUUGAUCAUUUUUCAUGAUUUCUUAAAUAAUUUGUUUGAUUAUUUUUAUUUGGGUGCUGAUAGUAAAAAUCAGCCUUGUGUGCAACCGGAGUUUAUAUAGAGUUUUUACAUAUUUAUAUCUUGAACUAGUCAUUCAUUUUACUGAUCAUACUAAUGAGGGUAAGAACUGAUCAUUUUCCAUGAUUUGUUAAAUAAUUUAAGUUAUUUGUAUCAUACUUGAUAGGUUUUAUAAUCAAAUUUAUUUCAAUCUUAUCCAUCCCUGUCCCUUGCUUCAAAUGGCUAUCUUUACUAGUUUAGCUGAUGUUUGCAUGGGGAAACCUCAAAAGUCUUACAUGCUAUUAUGAAGACCUGUAUAGUAUUAGGAUCUGCAUCCAACAGAUAUAUGUACCUAGGUGCCACCAUAGGCUACAUGAUGCGUCAUUAUUGUAAGUUUCUGCUCGUCAAAAGUGAUGAUAUUCACAAAGAUUCCCUAUUCCAUCUGCUUGAAGUUUGAUUUUGGACUCUAGUGAUCACAAUUCAAGUCUGAAGAAAAAUUUGUCAUGGACAGGCUUAGAUUUAUUAUAAACAGCUGGCACUGCAAUGACCAUCUCCAUCAACUAGCCAAGACUCACAAACAACUUGCACUGCUAUGACCAUCUCCACCACUCAAUUAAGACUGUUGGUUUUUAAAUACCCUAUUUCGGGGGCUUUCCAUGCCAAACACGUAUUUGCUCAUAUGGGUAAUUUAGAUUUCUGGAAAGUAAGACUGAUCUACAGUGUACUUGAAAAGCACAAAGAUUCACUUUAGAAAGAUUUAAAAGCAUAUACAAUCCAACAGAGGAAAUAUGUCAUAGAUGAGUCAUGUCAUGCAUGGUGACCAAAACUAAACUGUUAUUAUUUUCUUUUCCUUUGCUAAUCGGAUGAUGCUGAUGUCUUUCUUUAUUAACUAAGCAGUCUUACCGGGAAAGAGCUUUCCAGAAAGGAGUUUGUGGUUCUGCUCAGGGCAAUGAAAUGGCACGGAAUUAUCUUUGGUAUGUAAUAGCCAUAGGAAAUAUUUUGGAAAAGUUGUUGAUAUAGUGUUCUUUUUAAUAAAUCAAUUAUCUUAAAACUUCAGUAGAUGCUUGACUUAUUCAUGUGGAUAUCAAUGUUUGCCCCAGAUAAAUGAGCAGUUGCCUAGAAAUCUCCAUAUUGAUUUCAUUUUAA